This 84-nucleotide transfer RNA is filed under the name Rhipicephalus microplus (southern cattle tick). Its description in RNAcentral is "tRNA-Leu". It matches the Rfam family "tRNA". Rfam says of the family: Transfer RNA (tRNA) molecules are approximately 80 nucleotides in length. Their secondary structure includes four short double-helical elements and three loops (D, anti-codon, and T loops). Further hydrogen bonds mediate the characteristic L-shaped molecular structure. tRNAs have two regions of fundamental functional importance: the anti-codon, which is responsible for specific mRNA codon recognition, and the 3' end, to which the tRNAs corresponding amino acid is attached (by aminoacyl-tRNA synthetases). tRNAs cope with the degeneracy of the genetic code in two manners: having more than one tRNA (with a specific anti-codon) for a particular amino acid; and 'wobble' base-pairing, i.e. permitting non-standard base-pairing at the 3rd anti-codon position. Lineage: Eukaryota; Metazoa; Arthropoda; Arachnida; Ixodida; Ixodidae. The record is from Rfam by way of RNAcentral.
GUCAGGAUGGCCGAGCGGUCCAAGGCGCUGCGUUCAGGUCACAGUCCGGUCUUCCGGGCGUGGGUUCGAAUCCCACUUCUGACA